GUUCCAACAGCAUCCCAAUAACAUUGGCUUCUCAGGGACAGAGUGAGGUCACAAAGGCGAGUGUGAUGCCCCCAGACCCUGACUGGUUUCUGAGGACAGCAGCACUCCAGGAAGGAAUAUGGACUCUUUGUGGUUAAAGAAAAAGGUCUAGGGGAGGCCUGGUAAACAGAGUCCACACAGGAGUUGGAAGCCCUGAGAUGCAUCUGGUCCAGCUUCCUCAGUGCUUGCCUAGUGUCUGCUGAAAACAAACUGCGGCCCUCCCUGGAGGUUCAACUGCGGUUCUGCGGAGGGAGAGGUGCCUUUAAAAACUUCCCAUUAACUGGUUAUCAUGGAAUGGAAGACAAGAUGGAUUUUUUCCAACUCUGAGAGGAAUCCAGAGUUCCCCAUGGUAUAGAAGUUGAGAGCUUAGACUCUGGAACCAGACUGUUUUGUCUCUACCUCUUA
Odocoileus virginianus texanus is the source of this 444-nucleotide non-coding RNA. Lineage: Eukaryota; Metazoa; Chordata; Mammalia; Artiodactyla; Cervidae. The record is from RefSeq and is a predicted model, not a curated record.